AUUAACUAAUACUUAUUUACUGAUUCACUCCGUAUCCUAGGUGAUUUCCAGUGAAUAUGAUCAUGAGCCAUAUUUUACUUCCCCCAGGGAAGUAUGGAAUAUGGCUCAUAUUUUUACUUCCUACAAGCAAUAUUCAACUUUUGAAUCAUCUUGACAAUUAAUAUUUUGUACACAGUAAAAUAGCAAUACAGCACGCAAAAAGUUUUUGUAGACUAUGUUUUGUGCUAUUGUCAUAUUGACCUGAGCUAGCUAGCAGUCUAGGCUACUUAUUACAUGUUCAUGAAGCUUGAAACAUUGCAGUUCAAUCCUUGCUCUGUGUUUCUAGUCAAGGCUGUGGCUCAGAGGUAGAGGAGUACAGUGCAGCAGUGUUGGUAGACUUGUGCAAUGCAAAUUGAAAACGGCAGCUGCUGAUAUUGGUGGGCAAGUCUGGUCAAACUGUAUGGCUUCCAGUAGAACCUAGCUGCUUGGAGAAGUAGCUAGCUCUCAUACUUGACAGCUGUAACUGUUCUAACUGCAUAUUCUAAGGCACAAAAGUGGCUGUGAGAGCAAGCUUGACUGUCUCCAUUGAUGUUCAAAUGACUGUUUUGCUGUUUUUGCAGUAAAUAAAUAAAUUGUUGACUGGUUGCCUAGUAAUUAUGGUUUAUAACCUCAGCCUCGGGCUACGCCCUCGGCAUUGGUUGCCAUAAUUACUAGUCAACCAUGCAUGAAGGAUGCCAGAUAAUUAUUAUGACACAAACGCGUCAUAAUCUUAAUUUCCUGUUCAUUGUUGUGUUUAGAUGCAUGCAUAUAAAAGCAACAAUCCUACUGCCUUCAUGUUAUAACAAAAGAUAACAAAAUAAGAGAAUUAAAGCUGAGAGCUCACAUCUUCUGCAAAAACUACCAAGUCUUCCUUUCAUUGGUACUAAAUUUUAAAGAAUAACUCAACAGAAAGAGAAUGGACUCGUAUAUACAAGCCACAUCAUGUGGUAGACACAGUCAGUCCUGGACAAAACUGAAAAAUUUGAUAAUUCUGUGUUUUCUGCUCAUUUGCACAAACAACUGCUGCGGACAGAAUACCACUACUGACUCCAUAACAGAACCCAUCUCCUCCACCCAACAACCUACCGCCAGCUCGAGUGUUCCGUCAUCCAGCCCAACAGCUGCAUCGCUACCCAGCUCAACCACCCAACAACCUACCACCAGCUCGAGUGUUUCGUCGUCUAGCCCAACGGCUGUAUCGCUACCUAACUCAACGCCGCCCCAGUCCUCAAGCUUAGACAGAAAUCGGUGCAAAAAAAGGAGGGGCAAAAUCACAGUGUCCCACGAAGGAUGUAAUGAUAAAGAAAUCCUAGUUCCAAUGUGCGGUGGUUUCUGUCGAAGUGAGACACUUGUAAAAGCAGAGGCACCCUAUACGAUAUCUAACUGUCGUUGCUGCACCUCACGAAGCCAUGAGAUUGGUUUCAAAAGAGUGACUUUCACUUGUCAAGAUGGGCAACGUGAAACUCACAAGGUGUGGAUCGCAAAAGAUAUAGAAUGUGCUUGCCAGCUUUGCACACGGGUAAUUGGCAACAAUAAAUGAUAUAUAAUAAAUUGUGACGGAUAAAGUGAACCCAAUCUAUCUCCCACAAUUAUUCACAUUAUUUAUGGCACAUAUACAUUUUUAGUUGGUGUCUAAGAGACGCUACAUUGUCAUGUCCUUAUAAUGGACACUAAUUUCAAUUUUUUGAACCUGUUAUUACUUAUCUAUCACCAGCAGGCUAUUUGUGUCGUUUCUCUAGGCAUAAUUAUACACAUUGUGCAAUCAUGACCAUCUCCGUUUGUGCAGGCACAACUCAUUCAAUUUGUUAGUACAUGUACAUGUUUAAUGAUUUUAUGAAA
Long non-coding RNA from Halichondria panicea, 1857 nucleotides. RefSeq lists it as uncharacterized. The transcript is spliced from 2 exons. The record is from RefSeq and is a predicted model, not a curated record. Lineage: Eukaryota; Metazoa; Porifera; Demospongiae; Suberitida; Halichondriidae.